Molecule: non-coding RNA, 2592 nt
Organism: Camellia sinensis
Lineage: Eukaryota; Viridiplantae; Streptophyta; Magnoliopsida; Ericales; Theaceae
Source: RefSeq, a predicted model, not a curated record
AACAGUUAACGCUUAAAACAACCCUAUAACAGACUCGCCUCCAUUUUCCAUCUACAUCUCUGCUCGUUUUUUUUUCUCGGACAAUACUUUCUCGGAAAAUUCCAAAUGAGAUGAGAAUAUGUCACUGUCACAGAACAAUCUCAUCUCCAUCCACAACAACCUCUUCGAAAUUCGUGUCCCCAUUAGAACUCAACCAUUUACUUCAACUUUGCAGCAAUUCAAAAGCAAUAGACCCAGGACGACAAGUCCAUCAACAGAUCAUUCUACGUGGGUUAGACAGAGACCCUUUCAUAAUCACCAAAUUAGUUCAAAUGUAUGCAGGUUUCGAGGAUUCGAAAACUGCCCACCAUUUGUUCGACAGAUUGUCCCAACCAAAUGUUUUUGCAUGGACUGCAAUGCUGUCGUUUUAUUCGCGUAACGGAAUGUCAAAUCAGUGUUUGGGUUUUUAUGGUUUAAUGAAAUUGAGGGGUGUUUUUCCCGAUAAGUAUGUGUUUCCUAAGGUAUUACGAUCAUGUGCACAAUCUGGGUACUUUGAAAUGGGGAUUCAAGUGCACAAAGAUGUGAUCACUGGUGGUGCUGACUUGAAUGUACAAGUUUGCAAUUCUUUGAUUGAUAUGUAUUCAAAAUGUGGGGACAUCGAGAAUGCUAUGCGGGUUUUUGGAAGAAUGGUGGAAAGAGAUUUGUUGUCUUGGAAUUCAAUGAUUUCAGGGUACGUGUGUAAUGGGUUUCUUGAAUCAGCAGUGGAUUUGUUGGAUUCUAUGAGGUUGGAAGGUUUUGAACCUGAUUUAGUCACUUGGAAUACUGCAAUGGAUGCUUAUUGCAGAAUGGGUCAAUGUAAUGAGGCUUGGAAGAUUUUUGAACAGAUUAAUGAACCAAAUAUAAUUUCAUGGACCACUUUGAUAUCAGGUUAUUCAAGGAUUGGGAAGCAUGAAGUAACAUUAGCGAUCUUUAGGGAUAUGGUGAGUAAAAAUGUAGUUUUCCCAGAUUUGGAUUGUAUUUCUGGUGUCCUUGUUUCGUGCCGGCAUCUUGGUGCUUUAAUAUGUGGACGAGAAAUUCAUGCUUACGGGAUUAAAGUUGAAAAGGGGUUUGCAUUUUACAAGUCAGCUGGACCUGCAUUGUUGACAAUGUACGGUAGGUGUAGAAGACUAAAUGAUGCAACAAAUGUAUUCAAUUUGAUGGAAAAAUCUGAUGUCGUUACAUGGAAUGCCAUGAUUCUUAGUUUUAUUGAUCUUGGAAUGGAAAAUAUGGCACUUGAAUGUUUCAGAAAAAUGCCAAGAAUGAGGUUACAGAUCGAUCAAACCACAAUUUCCACUGUUUUGUCUAUGUGUGAUCUAAAAUCCGGGAAACAAAUACAUGCCUACAUUAAGAAAAGCAGUUUUGGUCUGUCAAUUCCGGUUUGGAAUGCGUUGAUCCAUAUGUACUCCAGAUGUGGAUGCAUUGGAACAGCAUAUUCUGUGUUUUCUAACAUGGUAAGUAGAGAUUUAGUAUCAUGGAACACAAUGAUUGGAGGGUUUGGAAAGCACGGGUUUGGCAAAUCCGCUCUCCAACUUCUGAAUGAGAUGAAUCGUUCUGGCCUUUGUCCCAACUCAGUGACUUUUACUUCAGUGUUAUCGGCCUGUAGCCACUCAGGUCUUCUUGAUGAGGGGCUUGAAGUCUUCCACAGAAUGACAAAAGACUUUGGCUUCAAGCCCGGAAUGGAACAUUUUGCUUGUGUUGUUGAUUUACUGGCACGUGCUGGUCGGCUUGAGGAUGCUGUCGGCUUUAUUAAGAGAAUGCCUCUAAAGGCUGAUAAGUGUAUUUGGGGGGCUUUGCUUGCUGCUUCUCAAGCCCACCAAAGCAUUGGUGUGGCAAUGCUUGCUUCAGAACAUUUAGUCCAUCUGGAACCUGAAUAUGCUGGACAUUACGUGACAUUGGCAAAUACAUAUGCUAGAGCAGGAAGAUGGGAUGACGCUGUAAGAGUGAGAAAAUUAAUGGAGAGCAGAGGAUUGGUGAAGCCUUCGGGAUAUAGUUGUAUUGAAAGUGGAAACUGAUCAAAUGAAGGUGAAAUGAGCUUCUAAUAAACUUUUUAAGAUUCUUUAUAGCGAAAGAGAUAAAUGCUUCUUAUGGUAGAGUGGCACAGAACUGUUUGGUUUCCACAAAAUAUCCCCAAACAUGCUUUUAUGCAAGGAAAGAUUGGCAAAAAAAGAUGAACUUAUGGAAUGGGAAAUCUCACCAGCACCUAUGUUUUUGAAUGUACCAACUCUUCACUCAUUUGGAAAGAUGUGAAGGGAAAAACUGUUGUCUGAAGAUCCCCACAAAGAUGGGGUGAUGAGGGAAUCCAUAACCGUAAUGAGGAUAACUUUUUCAUCUGUGUUUAAAAGCUCUCUUUGGCUGUUGCAGUGUACCACAUUUGGAGGGACAGAAAUAAGUGAACUUUCAAUCAAAAAAGAAAUGAAGCUAUAAACAUUAUCAGAGUGCUGUUGGGAAAGAUGGUAGAUGUAAAGUCUGUUAUUGGAAGAAAGUUAAAUUUCAGUAUCAAAUUUUGGAUAGCUUCUAAUGUAUCACCAUUGACUAAAAAGUCUCAUGUUUAUAAAUUUUUGACUUCUUCUUGUA